RNAcentral lists this ribosomal RNA (1514 nucleotides) under Enterococcus raffinosus ATCC 49464. RNAcentral describes it as "bacterial LSU rRNA". It matches the Rfam family "Bacterial large subunit ribosomal RNA", at positions 1406 to 2925 of the family's 2925-position model. Lineage: Bacteria; Bacillati; Bacillota; Bacilli; Lactobacillales; Enterococcaceae. The record is from RNAcentral.
UAGGCGUAGGCGAUGGAUAACAGGUUGAUAUUCCUGUACCCGUUGUUUUUGUUUGAGCAAUGGAGGGACGCAGGAGGCUAAGGAAUCAGACGAUUGGAAAUGUCUGUCCAAGCAAUAAGUCUUGAUGUGAGUCAAAUGCUUACGUCUUUAAGGACAAGUUGUGAUGGGGAGGGAAAUAAUAGUACCGAAGUUCCUGAUGUCACACUGCCGAGAAAAGCUUCUAGUGAGAAAACAAUGGCCCGUACCGCAAACCGACACAGGUAGUCGAGGAGAGAAUCCUAAGGUGAGCGAGAGAACUCUCGUUAAGGAACUCGGCAAAAUGACCCCGUAACUUCGGGAGAAGGGGUGCUGAUCUAACGAUCAGCCGCAGUGAAUAGGCCCAAGCGACUGUUUAUCAAAAACACAGGUCUCUGCAAAAUCGAAAGAUGACGUAUAGGGGCUGACGCCUGCCCGGUGCUGGAAGGUUAAGAGGAGUGCUUAGCGUAAGCGAAGGUACGAAUUGAAGCCCCAGUAAACGGCGGCCGUAACUAUAACGGUCCUAAGGUAGCGAAAUUCCUUGUCGGGUAAGUUCCGACCCGCACGAAAGGCGUAACGAUUUGGGCACUGUCUCAACGAGAGGCUCGGUGAAAUUUUAGUACCUGUGAAGAUGCAGGUUACCCGCGACAGGACGGAAAGACCCCAUGGAGCUUUACUGCAGUUUGAUAUUGAGUGUUUGUACCACAUGUACAGGAUAGGUAGGAGCCGUAGAAGUCGGGACGCUAGUUUCGACAGAGGCGCUGGUGGGAUACUACCCUUGUGUUAUGACCACUCUAACCCGCACCACUGAUCGUGGUGGGAGACAGUGUCAGAUGGGCAGUUUGACUGGGGCGGUCGCCUCCUAAAGAGUAACGGAGGCGCCCAAAGGUUCCCUCAGAAUGGUUGGAAAUCAUUCGCAGAGUGUAAAGGCACAAGGGAGCUUGACUGCGAGACCUACAAGUCGAGCAGGGACGAAAGUCGGGCUUAGUGAUCCGGUGGUUCCGCAUGGAAGGGCCAUCGCUCAACGGAUAAAAGCUACCCUGGGGAUAACAGGCUUAUCUCCCCCAAGAGUCCACAUCGACGGGGAGGUUUGGCACCUCGAUGUCGGCUCGUCGCAUCCUGGGGCUGUAGUCGGUCCCAAGGGUUGGGCUGUUCGCCCAUUAAAGCGGCACGCGAGCUGGGUUCAGAACGUCGUGAGACAGUUCGGUCCCUAUCCGUCGCGGGCGUUGGAAAUUUGAGAGGAUCUGUCCUUAGUACGAGAGGACCGGGAUGGACUUACCGCUGGUGUACCAGUUGUCUCGCCAGAGGCAUCGCUGGGUAGCUAUGUAGGGAAGGGAUAAACGCUGAAAGCAUCUAAGUGUGAAGCCCACCUCAAGAUGAGAUUUCCCAUUUCUUUAAGAAAGUAAGAUCCCUGAGAGAUGAUCAGGUAGAUAGGUCAGAAGUGGAAGUGCAGUGAUGUACGGAGCGGACUGAUACUAAUCGAUCGAGGACUUAACCAA